Molecule: ribosomal RNA, 90 nt
Filed under: Volucribacter psittacicida
Lineage: Bacteria; Pseudomonadati; Pseudomonadota; Gammaproteobacteria; Pasteurellales; Pasteurellaceae
Source: RNAcentral
ACCUGACCCCAUGCCGAACUCAGAAGUGAAACGCCGUAACGCCGAUGGUAGUGUGGGGUCUCCCCAUGUGAGAGUAGGUCACCGCCAGGU